UAAUGGCUUGUCGGCUGGG
This 19-nucleotide unclassified non-coding RNA is filed under the name Mus musculus (house mouse). RNAcentral describes it as "oocyte_clustered_small_RNA2071". Lineage: Eukaryota; Metazoa; Chordata; Mammalia; Rodentia; Muridae. The record is from RNAcentral.